CAUCACUGUUCCUUCAGUUCUCACUCAUUCACAGUAAAGAUGACAGCACACGCUCUCAUUAUCUGCUCUCUACUGCUUUUCAUUGCUGAGUGUAAUGGACAGAUCACGGUCACUCAGAGUCCCUCAAUAACAGCUCAACCAGGACAGCAAGUUAAAAUAAACUGUAAAACCAGCAGUGGAGUGUAUAAUGGUAAUCGUUUAGCCUGGUACUUACAGAAACCUGGAGAAGCUCCUAAACUCCUCAUAUAUUAUACAAGCACCCUCCAGACUGGAACUCCAUCUAGAUUCAGUGGCAGUGGAUCUAAUAGUGAUUUCACUCUGACCAUCAGUGGAGUCCAGACUGAAGAUGCAGGACAUUAUUACUGUCAGAGUUUUCACUAUCCUGGAAGCAUUCAUGUGUGGACUUUCGGCAGCGGCACCAGACUGGAUGUUGGCAGCAUCACUCGUCCUAAAGUGAGCGUCCUGCCGCCCUCCAGUGAAGAGAUUUCCACAAAGAACACAGCAACACUGAUGUGUGUGGCCAACAAGGGCUUCCCCUCAGACUGGAGCCUGAGCUGGAAGGUGGACGGGAGCAGCAGGUCUGAGAAGAGCAGUGCUGGGGUCCUGGAGAAGGGCGGUCUGUACAGCUGGAGCAGCAGUCUGACUCUCUCUCAGGACGAGUGGAUGAAGGCGGUCACAGUGAGCUGUGAGGCCAAACAGAAAGAGCAGCUGUCAGUCACUGGAGAAGUGAGGAGAGAUCAGUGUUCUGAGUAGAUCCUCUGGAUUCUCUUCUGCUCUUCUCACUCAUGUCUCACAUGGAGACUAACAGUGACUUCUAUUCACACAAGUAUAUGUGUGCUUUUGUCUUUCAGAUUUCUCUUGUCAAAAUUCAAUAAACUAAUAAAA
Xyrauchen texanus (razorback sucker) is the source of this 885-nucleotide non-coding RNA. Lineage: Eukaryota; Metazoa; Chordata; Actinopteri; Cypriniformes; Catostomidae. The record is from the annotation of a RefSeq genome assembly.